Molecule: long non-coding RNA, 2655 nt
Filed under: Homo sapiens (human)
Lineage: Eukaryota; Metazoa; Chordata; Mammalia; Primates; Hominidae
Description: PREDICTED lncRNA (TCONS_00216601)
Source: RNAcentral
CUGCCCCCAGCAGAGGCGGAAGCGGUGUCGCUCUGAGGGGUCGCCAGUCGCCGCAGGCGCUUCAGCCCAGCGGCGGGCCUUGGCCCUUGGCUGCCUACUCCUACCGCCCCAGCCCCGGGCGGCCCUGGGCCUGCUGCGGGCGCGGCGCUGCCCGACCAGAGCUUCCUGUGGAACGUCUUCCAGAGGGUCGAUAAAGACAGGAGUGGAGUGAUAUCAGACACCGAGCUUCAGCAAGCUCUCUCCAACGGAUGAAGCCCCACCCGCCCUUCAGGAUGCCAGCCUUGGCAACAUCGUGAGACCCUGUUUCUACAAAAACUAAACAAGUGUAGUGGUGCACGCCUGUAUUCCCAGCUACUUGGGAGGCUGAGAUGGGAAGAUCACUUGAGCCUGGGAGGUUGAGGCUGCAUUGAGCUGAGAUCAAGCCACGGCACUCCAGCCUGGGAGACAGAGCGAAACCCCAUCUCAAAAAAACAAAGAAAGUGGAUGCGUGCUGCUCCUGCCAUUGGAUCAUCGCAGCAUUUUUCUUUUCUCUGAUAUGCGCCUUUUUCCUCAUCGUGGGGGCUCAUGUUUUCGUAAUUCCCUCUCGCUACUAGAUUGUGAGCUGUGUGAAGGAAGGUUCAUAGUUGAGUUGUAUGUACAGGCACACAAAAUUUGUCCUUGGAUAGACACAUAUCAAUCCACUUCCUUCUCCUCUCUGAAUUUCUUUAUUUAAAAAAAAAAGUAGAGAUGGAGUCUCACUGUCUUGCCCAGGCUGGUGUCAAACUCCUAGGCUCAAGUGAUCCUCCCACCUCUACUAAUAUGAAUUAUUAGGCUAUGCUAAUAUGAAUUUGUAUACUAAUAUGAUUGAAAUUAGUUUGACUUCUAUAAUAAUUGUUCUCCCAGAUUGGGCUUCUGUUUUGAUAGUAGAACUAAAUUAUUAGGCUAUUUCAAGAAAUUAAUAUAUUACUGGUAGAAAAACUGAAGCUACAAAAUGGCCUGGUUUCUCACUUCAGUUAAAUUUGUGCUUCUGAGUGCUUGUAUUCUAGGUGAAACCGCACUGAGAAGGUAUUUGUGGCCUAUACGCUGAUUCAUUGAUUAGACUUCUUUGCACAGGAGAGCUGCUAAAAAUUACUGCGGUGAACAGAUGGAGGCCCAUUGAGGCUUCUCUGUCCUCCACGGGGAACAGCAUUGGCCUAAACCUGCAGACACCAUUGCAAAGGGAAUUCAGGCAAACCGGCUGGUGAAGAAUGAUUCCAGCGUGGGGACAGAGGCUGACAUUUCUUGCGCACGUGGACUCCCUUUAAUCCAGUGACUGUCAGGUCGAUCAUAUACUACACUGAAGGCUGGUUACGCUCUUAUGUGCAAUAGAACCUCAAACACAUCGUAACACACCUUUGGAGAAUCCUUACAAGAACACCAAGUUAACAGUUAUCUCUGACCACACUACCUCAGCAAAAAACCAGGAAGAAAAAAUAUUCUUCAACCCUUUUCAGGGACAGAAAGCAUCAUUUCAAAAGUCCAAGAAGGGAAGCAAAACUUCUGACCUGAGACAUCGAAGCAGAUAAAAAGCCGCUACACAAAAUGUAUCGCUACAACUAGAGGGCAGUCUUGCCUUUCUUCCAUUCAAUUAUUCAGUUUCUCAUGUUCCUAAGUGCCAGCCCAGAACCAUGGAAUGUGAAGAAACACAAAACUCACUCCUCUGCAUCAGUGAAUUGAUUGUGUGGUGGGGAUGUAAGUCUGCAUGUGACUGACAGUUCCCCAAAGUGGUGCCAAGUCAAUCUAAACUAGAGAGAAUUUCUGGCCAGGCCAAGCAGAGAUUUCAUGGAUGAAGUCUCCCAAAGACUGAUUUCCUAAACAUUAAACAUCACUGGUUUUCCAAAACUGGUUUUCUUUUUUUUUUUUUAACCCUGUUUCUCAGGCUGGAGGGCAAGUGGUGCCAUCUCCACUCACUGCAGCCUCGACCUCCCAGGCUCCACUGAUCUUCCCACCUCAGCCUCCUGAGUAGCUGGGACUACAGGUGUGCACCGCCACGACUCGCUAAUUUUUGUAUUUUUUGUAGAGACGGGGUUUUGCUGUGUUGCUCAGGCUGGUCACUCGAUCUGCCCACCUGGGUCUCGCAGAGUGCUGGGGUUACAGGUAUGAGCCACCACGCCCAGCCCACUGGUUUCCUUUACACCCGUUUUGUUCCCCAGCAGUCCUUAUGAGGGCACCUGAAAUAAGGAACCUCCUCCCCGACUUGAGAGCAGCAAAGCCUUCAGAGGGAACUAAGUUAUUAAAACCCACCCCACACAAAAUGCUUCUAAACGCCUUGGCUGACUUAAUCCUUGCAGUGUGCUGAGGUUAAGUAUGAUUAUCCAUCUCCUGUGAACAGGAAGACUGAGGCUCAGAGCUUAAGUGAUUUGCCCACGGUUCACUGCAGGGGAUAAAACUCGGCUGUCCCUGGCAGGUCCCAAAGUCACGGCCUUCAGGCUCCCACACCAUGCUGCCUCCCUCACCGGGGCUCCACACUCUCAGCCUGGAAAACACUAAUUUUAAGAAAACCAUGACUUACGAAAAGCAGCCAAUCCCAGCAUUGGAACCAACAGGGCAUAAUUCCACCUGCUUCCAUCACCACCAUCCGCCCUGGAAUUAGGCCGGAUAUUCCAAUUUGGGGGAUCAUUUAGGUUAUUCAUGGAG